ACAUGCAGUCGAGCGAGGANUUCGGUCCUUAGCGGCGGANGGGUGAGUAACGNNNNNNNANCGUACCCGGUACUACGGAAUAGCCUCGGGAAACUGAGAUUAAUACCGUAUACGCCCUUCGGGGGAAAGAUUUAUUCGGUAUCGGAUCGGCCCGCGUUGGAUUAGGUAGUUGGUGGGGUAAUGGCCUACCAAGCCGACGAUCCAUAGCUGGUUUGAGAGGAUGAUCAGCCACACUGGGACUGAGACACGGCCCAGACUCCUACGGGAGGCAGCAGUGGGGAAUCUUAGACAAUGGGGGAAACCCUGAUCUAGCCAUGCCGCGUGAGUGACGAAGGCCCUAGGGUCGUAAAGCUCUUUCACCAGGGAAGAUAAUGACGGUACCUGGAGAAGAAACCCCGGCUAACUCCGUGCCAGCAGCCGCGGUAAUACGGAGGGGGUUAGCGUUGUUCGGAAUUACUGGGCGUAAAGCGCACGUAGGCGGACUGUUAAGUCGGGGGGUGAAAUCCCGGGGCUCAACCCCGGAACUGCCUCCGGUACUGGCAGUCUAGAGUUCUGGAGAGGUGAGUGGAAUUCCGAGUGUAGAGGUGAAAUUCGCAGAUAUUCGGAGGAACACCAGUGGCGAAGGCGGCUCACUGGCCAGACACUGACGCUGAGGUGCGAAAGCGUGNNNAGCAAACAGGAUUAGAUACCCNGNNNGUCCNCGCCCUAAA
RNAcentral lists this ribosomal RNA (710 nucleotides) under uncultured bacterium. RNAcentral describes it as "partial 16S ribosomal RNA". It matches the Rfam family "Bacterial small subunit ribosomal RNA", at positions 53 to 806 of the family's 1533-position model. The record is from RNAcentral.